Zophobas morio is the source of this 895-nucleotide long non-coding RNA. RefSeq lists it as uncharacterized. The record is from RefSeq and is a predicted model, not a curated record. NCBI's taxonomy places the organism in Eukaryota, Metazoa, Arthropoda, Insecta, Coleoptera, Tenebrionidae. The transcript has 3 exons.
ACUUGCAAAAACUUUGUCAUUUUAUUUGUGUAAAAAAUGGAAGAUACGAAGUCGUUAUUAAUGAUGGUGUUGCACAAGAUUUUCCAGAAUCAACCAAAAACAAUUGAGAAUAUGUUUCAAUUAAUACACAACUUCAACAACGGAAAAAUCGAGAAAAAACAUUACGAAAAGACACUGAAAACAAUCUGCGAUCUGAUGAACGAUGAAUUGCCAUCACCCAUAUUAGUUUAUAUAUUAACUUUAGUUGACAUGCCCCAAGAUUUUGACUCAACUUCCCCUAUUAUAGAAAAAAUGAAGAAAACGCAUGAUUUUCUCCCGGAAAUCAACGUUAGACCCCAUUUAUUGGAAUACUUGAACAACAUGAAGCCACCCCACUAUAAUACAAAAAAUCGCAACAACGGGGUAGAAGUUCCAGAAAAAAGUAAAAUUCCCGAAUUUUCCGUCCCAGAAUCGAAAAAUACCAACAUCGAAGAGAAAAAAGACGCGCUUUGCUUUCUAAAACCUGCUAAAAUAGGGAAAAGGACGUGUCGAAGACACGUUUCUAAAAUAACAGGUUCGCCGAAGUGUUUAAUAGACAUUUGUGCCGUUUUCGUCGUCGCAAAUGAAAGCGCCUUGAAAGAAAUGUACAAGAAAAAACAAGUUUCGGCUUGGCGUUUGAUAAACAGCAAUGUUUUUUGCGGGAGCAAACUUAGCCAAUGCUACGACGUUGUAAAAGAUUUAAACAGAAAAACUAAGUGGUUGCGAGAAAUAGAGUCAGAGAAUAUUUCGACAGAGUUAUUUACAGAGGAAUACAAGAACAGCAACGUGUUUUUGCAAGAAAAUCAUCUGCUGUGUAAAUUAAAAACAGACCCUUUCAUUUUAUCCGAACAAACUGAGAAAACUAUAGACACAUUGU